RNAcentral lists this ribosomal RNA (550 nucleotides) under uncultured bacterium. RNAcentral describes it as "bacterial SSU rRNA". It matches the Rfam family "Bacterial small subunit ribosomal RNA", at positions 73 to 602 of the family's 1533-position model. The record is from RNAcentral.
CCGGAGCUUGCUCCACCGGAAAAAGAGGAGUGGCGAACGGGUGAGUAACACGUGGGUAACCUGCCCAUCAGAAGGGGAUAACACUUGGAAACAGGUGCUAAUACCGUAUAACAAUCGAAACCGCAUGGUUUUGAUUUGAAAGGCGCUUUCGGGUGUCGCUGAUGGAUGGACCCGCGGUGCAUUAGCUAGUUGGUGAGGUAACGGCUCACCAAGGCCACGAUGCAUAGCCGACCUGAGAGGGUGAUCGGCCACAUUGGGACUGAGACACGGCCCAAACUCCUACGGGAGGCAGCAGUAGGGAAUCUUCGGCAAUGGACGAAAGUCUGACCGAGCAACGCCGCGUGAGUGAAGAAGGUUUUCGGAUCGUAAAACUCUGUUGUUAGAGAAGAACAAGGAUGAGAGUAACUGUUCAUCCCUUGACGGUAUCUAACCAGAAAGCCACGGCUAACUACGUGCCAGCAGCCGCGGUAAUACGUAGGUGGCAAGCGUUGUCCGGAUUUAUUGGGCGUAAAGCGAGCGCAGGCGGUUUCUUAAGUCUGAUGUGAAAGCC